Molecule: long non-coding RNA, 2740 nt
Filed under: Ananas comosus (pineapple)
Lineage: Eukaryota; Viridiplantae; Streptophyta; Magnoliopsida; Poales; Bromeliaceae
Description: long non-coding RNA (ACOM_LNC009585)
Source: RNAcentral
AAAAAAAAUCCAAGGUGCCUGCUGGAUUUCUCUUAGAAAGAAGAAGAAGAAGAAGAAGAGGACAAAAGAAAAAAAAAGAAAAAGAAAGAGAGCAAAUGUGUCCCCUUUGGCCAUUUUCUGCAGGAAAAGAAAAACAAAGGCCUUCUUUCAACAUGACCUUAGUUGAGGGGCUUGUUCCCAGGAUUCCUCCUUGCCUGGGGCUGCAGGGCAGGGAAAUUGCAUUGCCACUUUAGCGGCUCUCUGUACAUUUUCGCCUGAAUGGCUUUGUCCUUGAACCAAAUGCUGCCUGGUUGUUGGCCAGAGAGGAAGUAGUUUGCCAUUUCUGCAACUCUUGCAGGCUGAUGACUCUCUCUCUCUCUCUCUCUCUCUCUCUCUCUCUCUCUCUCUCAAAAUGAGGGACGGAACUUGCAAAAUCGCAAAACUGGUGGAUUUUUUAUGCAAAUUGGCCUUUCUUCAACUCUAGAAAUAGACUUUUCUAUUUUUAAUUACCUUUGUAAUUUUAUGGAUUCUUUACAUGCAGAAGAGAGCAAAAGUUUCUUUCAAAAACUAAAAGGCAGGCAACAUGUUCAUAUCGUUAUCGUCGCAGCCGUUACCCUUUUCCCCAUUUUUGGCAAGUUAAAAAAAAAGACUUUGCGACAUGGACUAAGUUGAGGGGCUUAUUUUCAGAAUUUCUCCACCCCUGGGGCUCGAGGAUAGGUGAAUUGCAGCCUCGGUAAAGGGGGUCUCCAUGCAUUUUUACCUAAAUUGCCUUAUUCUAGAACCAAAUUCUGCCUGGUUGUUGGCCAGAGAGGAAGUGGACCUGCAUUUCGGCUACUCUUGUAGGCUGAUGACUCUCUCUCUCUCUCUCUCUCUCUCUCUAUAUAUAUAUAUAUAUAUAUCAUAUUGCCCGGACUGGUAUUUUGUGCAAGGUGAUGGUGAUGAAUGCUACAUGAUUGUGACUUUCUGCGGAAAGUCCUUCAGUGUGAUCGACUAUAUAUAUAUAUAUAUGCGAAUGUAAAGUUGAGCUACAAUCAAUAGUAGCAACCACUAAACCUAAACUCUGGACCCUAGACCCUAUUGAUCCAUGGGUCAAAAACUUGGUCGCGGCCGCCACUUUGCUACUAUCAAUAGUAUUUUAGCCCCACAAUAAAUUUAUACAUCUAUAUGAAUUCUCUUUCUCUUAUGUGUUACUCUUUUGGGUAAACUUCAAAUACCACCCCUAUGGUUUCGCACUUUCUCACUUUAGUAACCCUGUGGAUUAAAGUGUAUUAAGUUAGUAUCCUGUGGUUUCAUUUUUCUCUUUUCGCCUGCUCCUCCGUUAACAUUUCGUUAAAUUAUAUACAAAAUAUGCUUUCUUCAAAAUAUUUUUUCCCUUCUUUUCCUUCUUGGAGGCGAUGAUGAUAAACACCGCAUCACUGCAAUUUUGUGAGAAGAUGUGCUAUUCUCAUGCAAUGCCAUUAUUUUUCUCUUUCCAUAUGUGUGCAUGUACGCACACACGUUCAUAUAUAUAUAUAUAUAUAUACACAUCUAUUUCUUGGACCUGGUUCACCACAUUUGUUUACUACCCAAUGAAAUGCUUGAUUCUUUGGCGAUGUUGGCUGGGCAGCUGGAUGGCCUUCAACUUGCAGGCAAUGGCUGCAGCUACAUCUCCAGUGUUAGACUGGUGUAUAUGAUUAAUUUUUCCUUUGGUGUUAAAUCUGAGCCUCCGUCAAUCUUUUGCACUUUUUGCUCUCUCUUGUUGCAUUCACUGGUUCUUUACCACUGAAACUGAGCAAAAGUUAAUCCGCAAAAAAAAAAAAAAAAAAAUUCAAGGUGCCUACUGGAUUUCUCUUAGAAAGAAGAAGAAGAAGAGGACAAAAGAGAAAAAAAGAGAGCAAAUGUGUUCCCUUUGGCCAUUUUCUGCAGGAAAAGAAAAACAAAGGUCUUCUUUUAACAUGACUUUAGUUGAGGGGCUUUUUCCCAGGAUUCCUCCAUGCCUGGGGCUGCAGGGCAGGGAAAUUGCAUUGCCACUUUAGCGGCUCUCUGUACAUUUUCGCCUGAAUUGCUUUGUCCUCUAACCAAAUGUUGCCUGGUUGUUGGCCAGAGAGGAAGUAGUUUGCAAUUUCUGCAACUCGUGUAGGCUGAUGACUCUCUCUCUCUCUCUCUCUCAAAAGAGGGACCGAACUUGCAAAAUCUCAAAACUGGUGGAUUUUUUAUGCAAAUUGGCCUUUCUUAAACUUUAGAAAUAGAAUUUUCUAUUUUUACUUACCUUUGUAAUUUUAUGGAUUCUUUACAUGCAGAAGAGAGCAGAAGUUUUUUCAAAAACUAAAGGCAGGGAACAUGUCCGUAUCGUUAUUGUUGCUGCUGUUACCCUUUUGGCCAUUUUUGGCAAGUUGAAAAAAAAGACUUUGCGACAUGGCCAUAGUUGAGGGGCUUUUUCAGAAUUUCUCCACCCCUGGGGCUUGAGGAUAGGUGAAUUGCAGCCCCGGUAAAGGGGGUCUCCAUGCAUUUUUACCUAAAUUGCCUUAUUCUAGAACAAAUUCUACCUGGUUUUUGGCCAGAGAGGAAGUAGACCGGCAUUUCUGCUACUCUUUUAGGCUGAUGACUCUCUCUCUCUCUCUCUCUCUCUCUCUCUCUCUCUCUCUCUAUAUAUAUAUAUAUAUAUAUAUAUGGGUUAAUUUCAUACAGCUCCCUGCAAAUAAUAUCUCUCUCUCUCCCUCUCAUACUGCCUGGACUGGUAUUUUGUGCAAGGUGAUGGCAAUGAAUUCCACAUGAUUGUGAC